UACGGUAGGGUGCAAGCGUUGUCCGGAAUUAUUGGGCGUAAAGAGCUCGUAGGCGGUCUGUCGCGUCUGCUGUGAAAACCCGAGGCUCAACCUCGGGCCUGCAGUGGGUACGGGCAGACUAGAGUGCAGUAGGGGAGACUGGAAUUCCUGGUGUAGCGGUGAAAUGCGCAGAUAUCAGGAGGAACACCGAUGCGAAGGCAGGUCUCUGGGCUGUAACUGACGUGAGGAGCGAAAGCAUGGGGAGCGAACAGG
Molecule: ribosomal RNA, 252 nt
Filed under: uncultured bacterium
Lineage: Bacteria
Description: partial 16S ribosomal RNA
Rfam family: Bacterial small subunit ribosomal RNA
Source: RNAcentral